GGGGAAUAUUGCACAAUGGAGGAAACUCUGAUGCAGCGAUGCCGCGUGAGGGAAGAAGGUUUUAGGAUUGUAAACCUCUGUCUUCAGGGACGAAAAAAGGACGGUACCUGAGGAGGAAGCUCCGGCUAACUACGUGCCAGCAACCGCGGUAAUACGUAGGGAGCGAGCGUUGUCCGGAAUUACUGGGUGUAAAGGGAGCGUAGGCGGGAUCGCAAGUCAGAUGUGAAAACUAUGGGCUUAACCCAUAAACUGCAUUUGAAACUGUGGUUCUUGAGUGAAGUAGAGGUAAGCGGAAUUCCUAGUGUAGCGGUGAAAUGCGUAGAUAUUAGGAGGAACAUCAGUGGCGAAGGCGGCUUACUGGGCUUUAACUGACGCUGAGGCUCGAAAGCGUGGGGAGCAAACAGGAUUAGAUACCCUGGUAGUCCACGCCGUAAACGAUGAUUACUAGGUGUGGGGGGACUGACCCCUUCCGUGCCGCAGCAAACGCAAUAAGUAAUCCACCUGGGGAGUACGGCCGCAAGGUUGAAACUCAAAGGAAUUGACGGGGGCCCGCACAAGCAGUGGAGUAUGUGGUUUAAUUCGAAGCAACGCGAAGAACCUUACCAGGUCUUGACAUCCAACUAACGAAGUAGAGAUACAUUAGGUGCCCUUCGGGGAAAGUUGAGACAGGUGGUGCAUGGUUGUCGUCAGCUCGUGUCGUGAGAUGUUGGGUUAAGUCCCGCAACGAGCGCAACCCUUGCUAUUAGUUGCUACGCAAGAGCACUCUAAUAGGACUGCCGUUGACAAAACGGAGGAAGGUGGGGACGACGUCAAAUCAUCAUGCCCCUUAUGACCUGGGCUACACACGUACUACAAUGGAUGUUAACAGAGGGAAGCAAGACAGCGAUGUGGAGCAAACCCCUAAAAACAUUCUCAGUUCAGAUUGCAGGCUGCAACCCGCCUGCAUGAAGAUGGAAUUGCUAGUAAUCGCGGAUCAGCAUGCCGCGGUGAAUACGUUCCCG
RNAcentral lists this ribosomal RNA (1001 nucleotides) under uncultured bacterium. Its description in RNAcentral is "bacterial SSU rRNA". It matches the Rfam family "Bacterial small subunit ribosomal RNA", at positions 356 to 1376 of the family's 1533-position model. The record is from RNAcentral. RNAcentral also lists the same sequence under 1 other name.